Molecule: ribosomal RNA, 1730 nt
Filed under: Escherichia coli
Lineage: Bacteria; Pseudomonadati; Pseudomonadota; Gammaproteobacteria; Enterobacterales; Enterobacteriaceae
Description: partial 23S ribosomal RNA
Rfam family: Bacterial large subunit ribosomal RNA
Source: RNAcentral
GGGUUGUGAGGUUAAGCGACUAAGCGUACACGGUGGAUGCCCUGGCAGUCAGAGGCGAUGAAGGACGUGCUAAUCUGCGAUAAGCGUCGGUAAGGUGAUAUGAACCGUUAUAACCGGCGAUUUCCGAAUGGGGAAACCCAGUGUGUUUCGACACACUAUCAUUAACUGAAUCCAUAGGUUAAUGAGGCGAACCGGGGGAACUGAAACAUCUAAGUACCCCGAGGAAAAGAAAUCAACCGAGAUUCCCCCAGUAGCGGCGAGCGAACGGGGAGCAGCCCAGAGCCUGAAUCAGUGUGUGUGUUAGUGGAAGCGUCUGGAAAGGCGCGCGAUACAGGGUGACAGCCCCGUACACAAAAAUGCACAUGCUGUGAGCUCGAUGAGUAGGGCGGGACACGUGGUAUCCUGUCUGAAUAUGGGGGGACCAUCCUCCAAGGCUAAAUACUCCUGACUGACCGAUAGUGAACCAGUACCGUGAGGGAAAGGCGAAAAGAACCCCGGCGAGGGGAGUGAAAAAGAACCUGAAACCGUGUACGUACAAGCAGUGGGAGCACGCUUAGGCGUGUGACUGCGUACCUUUUGUAUAAUGGGUCAGCGACUUAUAUUCUGUAGCAAGGUUAACCGAAUAGGGGAGCCGAAGGGAAACCGAGUCUUAACUGGGCGUUAAGUUGCAGGGUAUAGACCCGAAACCCGGUGAUCUAGCCAUGGGCAGGUUGAAGGUUGGGUAACACUAACUGGAGGACCGAACCGACUAAUGUUGAAAAAUUAGCGGAUGACUUGUGGCUGGGGGUGAAAGGCCAAUCAAACCGGGAGAUAGCUGGUUCUCCCCGAAAGCUAUUUAGGUAGCGCCUCGUGAAUUCAUCUCCGGGGGUAGAGCACUGUUUCGGCAAGGGGGUCAUCCCGACUUACCAACCCGAUGCAAACUGCGAAUACCGGAGAAUGUUAUCACGGGAGACACACGGCGGGUGCUAACGUCCGUCGUGAAGAGGGAAACAACCCAGACCGCCAGCUAAGGUCCCAAAGUCAUGGUUAAGUGGGAAACGAUGUGGGAAGGCCCAGACAGCCAGGAUGUUGGCUUAGAAGCAGCCAUCAUUUAAAGAAAGCGUAAUAGCUCACUGGUCGAGUCGGCCUGCGCGGAAGAUGUAACGGGGCUAAACCAUGCACCGAAGCUGCGGCAGCGACACUAUGUGUUGUUGGGUAGGGGAGCGUUCUGUAAGCCUGCGAAGGUGUGCUGUGAGGCAUGCUGGAGGUAUCAGAAGUGCGAAUGCUGACAUAAGUAACGAUAAAGCGGGUGAAAAGCCCGCUCGCCGGAAGACCAAGGGUUCCUGUCCAACGUUAAUCGGGGCAGGGUGAGUCGACCCCUAAGGCGAGGCCGAAAGGCGUAGUCGAUGGGAAACAGGUUAAUAUUCCUGUACUUGGUGUUACUGCGAAGGGGGGACGGAGAAGGCUAUGUUGGCCGGGCGACGGUUGUCCCGGUUUAAGCGUGUAGGCUGGUUUUCCAGGCAAAUCCGGAAAAUCAAGGCUGAGGCGUGAUGACGAGGCACUACGGUGCUGAAGCAACAAAUGCCCUGCUUCCAGGAAAAGCCUCUAAGCAUCAGGUAACAUCAAAUCGUACCCCAAACCGACACAGGUGGUCAGGUAGAGAAUACCAAGGCGCUUGAGAGAACUCGGGUGAAGGAACUAGGCAAAAUGGUGCCGUAACUUCGGGAGAAGGCACGCUGAUAUGUAGGUGA